GCCACCUGAUGUAAAGAAGUGACUCAUCAGAAAAGACCCUGAUGCUGGGAAAAGAUAGAAGGCACAAGGAGAAGGGGAUGACAGAGGAUGAGAUGGUUGGAUGGCAUCACUGACUCGAUGGACAUGAGUUUGAGCAAACUCCGGGAGUUGGUGAUGGCCUGUUGUACUGCAGUGCAUGGAGUCGCGAAGAGCUGGACACAACUGAGCGACUGAACUGAACUGAUACAUACAUAUACAGGGCUACAGUUUAGAAACUUGUAUUCCAAGCCUAUCUUACAGAUCCAAAUUAAAAGGUCUCCUCGAUUAUCCACUGGAGUGGAGAUCCACUGUCCAGGGACUUCCCUGGGGGUCCAGCAGCUAAUACACCACACUCCCAAUGGAGGGGGCCCAGGUUCGAUCCCUGGUCAGGGAACUAGAUCGCACAUGAUCUAGCAACUAAGAGUUCAUAUGUUGCAACUAAGAGCCGGUGUAGCCAAAAUAAAUGUUAAAAAAGAAAGAAAAAUAAUUUUAAAAAAGAAAGAAAUCUACUGUCCAGAAAGCUACUGUUUAUCUCUAAAUACAUAAAAGAAUCAUCUCUCCCCUCACCCCACAGAUAUUCACAAAGGUCACUAAUAAAGUUACAUAAAAAGGUAGAAAAGUAAAACCAAAACCAAGCCCAGAAAGCUACCUACUAAAUGUGUUCAGAAUCUGCGUGGGUGAUUUACAUGUGUGACAUUCCUCACAAUGUUAAGAGGGAAAGAACCAUGAACUAUGUUCUAGAGGACAUAGCUCCACUGUGAGGCUUCAGAGAGUAUGGACAAGCCAAGAAUGCAUCCAUUUAGCAUCUGUCAAGCAGGCAUUUAAAAGCCACAUUCAAGACCCCAGUCAGAUAUGUUAUUUCCCUUAGUUUAUGGAUGAGAAACUUGGGCUCCUAAAAAAUGUCAGCUGAAUGAUGAUGCAGAAGGGAUUCAGCCCAUUAAACCUCCUGUUGCUUCUUAUUUGCCAGGUACUAGACCCAUUCACAGGGUUUCCCUGAUGGCUCAGCAGUAAAGAAUCCGCCUGCAAUGCAGGAGACACAGGAGAUGUGGGUUCAGUCCCUGGGCCAGGAAGAUCCCCUGGAGAAGGAAAUGGCAACCCACUCCAGUAUUCUUGCCUGGAAAAUCCCAUAGACAGGGGACCCUGGCAUGCUACAGUCCAUGGGGCUGCAAAGAAUCGGACAUGACUAAGAAGUCAGGCAGACCCAUUUACAGACAUUAUCUCAGUUAACCCUCACUUCCAUCCUGCAGGGACACCGUAUUCUCCCCAUGUCCCCAGUGGCGGACAGGAAGCUUUAGAGAAGGCAAGCCAUGAAUUUCUAAGCUCUGCCUUGGGGAGAGGCAACUUCUUCCUCUUCCAAACAUCCCAACAAUUGACCUCACACUGUAGGACCAAAUCAAGACAUUUCACUACAGGGGGGCUUUUCUUAGCAUCAUGGUGUGGGAAGGACAUGGAUUUUAAGGCCAGCUACAGGAAGCUGGAAUCCGUCCACACUGUUACCUGUCCAGGUGGACCACGGGGCACCCCACACUUUCCCCAGCUGAAGUCAGUCUUGCCAAACUCUUCAGCAGUUCACGACUUUGCAAGUUCAGGGACAGAUCAUAUCAGAGUCCCUAGUCCACUUCACACGACUGGGGAAAAAACAACCACAACUUCCCCUGCCCUUAGUUCCUCCUCCGAAAGAGCUGCUGAACCUCAUCUGGAAACAGCUGGGAGGCAGCAGUUAACAGGAAACCAAACCCAAAAAAAAAAAGCACAGAGUGUACCAGGGAGAGUUAGGCGGCUAGAACGAAGAGGCCGGGGGACCAACAGGAAGCUGAAGUCAGAAAGAGCCCAGGCCAGAAACAGACAGAAGAGGAGGCGGCCCAGCUGUCCAGGAGAGGGAAAAAACCUGGAAAAUGGGGGUGAAGGCUCUACAUGGCCCUGAAAGGGAAGUGAGGCCACCUCUGGGGUUGUUUUCUUUCCUCCCUGCCCCCUAUAUCGCAACCCUCCUUCUCUGAAAGCCAGUGAGCAGUUUUCAUAGGAUAGCUGAGGUCAGAAACAUUUCUGUUCUCAUGCUGCUUUCUAGGCCAGAGGCUGCGGCCCAGAUAACUGGUUUUGAGUCCUUCUCCUAUCAAUUUGUACCCACGUUCCACGCUGCCAACUAAAUUCUGGGGACACCCAGAUUAGCCUCACGCAGAGAGGGGCACGAAGAGCAUCUUCAUGAGAAAUUACUAGGCUGAUGCCCACUGGGGGACCAGCAGUGGCAGGAGACUGCACAGGGAGUGACAGCAAAGCCGGACGGAGAACCAGCAGGGCUGGAGGUCUCAAAGAACAAGGACCCAGCUGACUGCCCAGUACACAGUGGAGGCCCAACAGGUGCUAAACAGAAACCUCUGGGCCUUGAUGGAUGAGGCAAGGCUGAACGUCAAUGUCAAGCUCUCUGCUUCAGGACAACACACCCUCUGUCUUGCUCACAAACCGAGCGGCUCUGGAGACAAGCGGCAUGUCUAUGUGUGACAAUACUCAAGUGGAAAUAGUCUUAUUAGCUGCAGUUUUGACACCCCUGAGUCCCCAGACCUCUUUGAUGAACACAGAGGAUGGACAGUAAAAAAUCACAACAGAAGCCGAGGCAACGCUGGGGUCUCUCCUGUGCCCAGCUGUGUGUGAAGUGCUACCCACAUUCUCUCCUCUUGUCCGUGUUCUGGCCCCAAGACAGUCCUGUGAUCUCACCGUGGCAGCGAGAGACCCUGAGGCUCGUGUGUGUGUGUGUGUGUGUGUGUCAAGUGGAGGAUCUGGGAUUCGAACCAGGGACAUCUGCUCCCAUCAGCAAGGCCACCUACAUCUGCACUGUCUGAUUCAGACUAGAUUCCGGCAAACAGUGAUAACCUGGAAAGGGGACCAAGUAGCGGGGAGCGUGGUCAGGUGCAAAAUUCCAAAGAACGGUUCGUCUAGCAUUUAAGAGCCUGAAGACCUAUCUUCCCAGCUCUAAGGGAAGUUGGCUUUGGGUCACUGUGCCUGGGCAGUGCUCUGUGGACCCGAAUAAACAAAGUGAUGAAGCUAAGGCUGGGAUAAAGGACUGACCCCAAGGGAGGACCUGUGCGUCUUCUCUACUGCAACCCCAGUUAUCAGACCAGCUACAGGACACUCAUGGAUCCUGCUCAAUGAAUACCAGACAGUUCCAAUCAUCCAGAGAGCAAACGAGGAAACAAAAACAAGAAGACACCUUUCAACGUACCCCCAACACCCCAGCAGG
Molecule: long non-coding RNA, 3250 nt
Organism: Dama dama (fallow deer)
Lineage: Eukaryota; Metazoa; Chordata; Mammalia; Artiodactyla; Cervidae
Exons: 4
Source: RefSeq, a predicted model, not a curated record